AUUGAACGCUAGCGGGAUGCUUUACACAUGCAAGUCGAACGGCAGCGCGGACUUCGGUCUGGCGGCGAGUGGCGAACGGGUGAGUAAUGUAUCGGAACGUGCCCAGUAGCGGGGGAUAACUACGCGAAAGCGUAGCUAAUACCGCAUACGCCCUACGGGGGAAAGCAGGGGAUCGUAAGACCUUGCACUAUUGGAGCGGCCGAUAUCGGAUUAGCUAGUUGGUGAGGUAACGGCUUACCAAGGCGACGAUCCGUAGCUGGUUUGAGAGGACGACCAGCCACACUGGGACUGAGACACGGCCCAGACUCCUACGGGAGGCAGCAGUGGGGAAUUUUGGACAAUGGGGGGAACCCUGAUCCAGCCAUCCCGCGUGUGCGAUGAAGGCCUUCGGGUUGUAAAGCACUUUUGGCAGGAAAGAAACGUCGCGGGCUAAUACCCCGUGGAACUGACGGUACCUGCAGAAUAAGCACCGGCUAACUACGUG
This 484-nucleotide ribosomal RNA is filed under the name uncultured bacterium. Its description in RNAcentral is "partial 16S ribosomal RNA". It matches the Rfam family "Bacterial small subunit ribosomal RNA", at positions 30 to 507 of the family's 1533-position model. The record is from RNAcentral.